RNAcentral lists this long non-coding RNA (383 nucleotides) under Zea mays. Its description in RNAcentral is "long non-coding RNA (ZMAY_LNC001225)". The record is from RNAcentral. Lineage: Eukaryota; Viridiplantae; Streptophyta; Magnoliopsida; Poales; Poaceae.
UUGCCGCCGUCAGCCACCACCUCGUCGGCGUCGGAGGCCACCGCCCACCGUCCUAUACCCUCCACUCCAUCCAAGGAGGAGAAAACGAACCCAGCCUCACCCAGGCUCGUUCAGACGCCGACCAACGCGAUCGCUUCCUCCGACGCCUCCCGCGCUCUCCACGAACAACUGGUAUGAGCUUCGUUCGCCUCGGCCGCUCGACUCGCCGUCGUCCAGCCGCGGUUCUCUUUCUCCUCAAAGGCAAUGUAUCUCCUCCGGUCCCCACCCCUGUGAUUCAAUCGUUUCGUAUUAGGUAUCGCUGCAGUGCCAAACGGUGAUCGGCCGGGGCCGCCUGGUUCAAACUUCAAAGCAAACUUCGAUUCGCAUCUCGCCGGUUGAGUUUC